This 468-nucleotide ribosomal RNA is filed under the name uncultured bacterium. Its description in RNAcentral is "partial 16S ribosomal RNA". It matches the Rfam family "Bacterial small subunit ribosomal RNA", at positions 28 to 507 of the family's 1533-position model. The record is from RNAcentral.
GACGAACGCUGGCGGCGUGCUUAACACAUGCAAGUCGAACGGAAAGGCCCUGCUUUUGUGGGGUGCUCGAGUGGCGAACGGGUGAGUAACACGUGAGUAACCUGCCCUUGACUUUGGGAUAACUUCAGGAAACUGGGGCUAAUACCGGAUAGGAGCUCCUGCUGCAUGGGGGGGGUUGGAAAGUUUCGGCGGGUGGGGAUGGACUCGCGGCUUAUCAGCUUGUUGGUGGGGUAGUGGCUUACCAAGGCUUUGACGGGUAGCCGGCCUGGGAGGGUGACCGGCCACAUUGGGACUGAGAUACGGCCCAGAGUCCUACGGGAGGCAGUAGUGGGGACUAUUGCCCAAUGGGCGGAAGCCUGAUGCAGCAACGCCGCGUGCGGGAUGACGGCCUUCGGGUUGUAAACCGCUUUCGCCUGUGACGAAGCGUGAGUGACGGUAAUGGGUAAAGAAGCACCGGCUAACUACGUG